UACGUAGGGUGCAAGCGUUGUCCGGAAUUAUUGGGCGUAAAGAGCUCGUAGGCGGUCUGUUGCGUCGGCUGUGAAAACCCGGGGCUCAACUCCGGGCCUGCAGCCGAUACGGGCAGACUAGAGUUCGGCAGGGGAGACUGGAAUUCCUGGUGUAGCGGUGAAAUGCGCAGAUAUCAGGAGGAACACCGGUGGCGAAGGCGGGUCUCUGGGCAACUACUGACGCUGAGGAGCGAAAGCGUGGGGAGCGAACAGG
Molecule: ribosomal RNA, 253 nt
Filed under: uncultured bacterium
Lineage: Bacteria
Description: partial 16S ribosomal RNA
Rfam family: Bacterial small subunit ribosomal RNA
Source: RNAcentral